UUCCGUAUGUGAACCUGCGGAAGGAUCAUUAACACUAAUCCAAACCGACUCAACCAAGCCUAAUUGUUGCUGCUUUUGUGGCAACUUAAACCUAACCAAAUGAAGCUAACUAAGCUCAACCAAAACCAAAUCCUCAACGAUGGAUAUCUAGGUUCCUACAACGAUGAAGAACGCAGCGAAGUGCGAUAAGCAGUGCGAAUUGCAGAACCGUGAGUCAUCAGAUUUUUGAACGCAACUGGCACUAAAGGGUUCUCCCUUUAGUAUGCUUCCUUCAGUGUGUUAUUAUUUCCUCACCCAAAUCCUAAUGCGAUAGAUGCCCUUCUAUUGCUAAGCAGGAAAGCACUCUACGCUUUGCAGUGAAUCACUUGUGAUUCACACUCAAUGCAGCAGUCACAUUCUCCAAUGUGAACUCAUUGAGCGCAGAGGUAGUGGUCAGCCUCGGCAGACUCAGUGCUUGGAGAUACAAAUUUUCUCAUCAUCUGAAGUGAAGUAGGACCACCCGCUGAACUUAAGCAUAUCAAUAAGCGG
RNAcentral lists this ribosomal RNA (528 nucleotides) under uncultured eukaryote. RNAcentral's name for it is "eukaryotic LSU rRNA". The stretch from base 129 to 280 matches the Rfam family "5.8S ribosomal RNA". The record is from RNAcentral.